GAUGAACGCUAGCUACAGGCUUAACACAUGCAAGUCGAGGGGCAGCGGGAUUGAAGCUUGCUUCAAUUGCCGGCGACCGGCGCACGGGUGAGUAACGCGUAUCCAACCUUCCGUACACUCAGGGAUAGCCUUUCGAAAGAAAGAUUAAUACCUGAUGGUAUGAUGAGAUUGCAUGAUAUCAUCAUUAAAGAUUUAUCGGUGUACGAUGGGGAUGCGUUCCAUUAGGUAGUAGGCGGGGUAACGGCCCACCUAGCCAACGAUGGAUAGGGGUUCUGAGAGGAAGGUCCCCCACAUUGGAACUGAGACACGGUCCAAACUCCUACGGGAGGCAGCAGUGAGGAAUAUUGGUCAAUGGACGAGAGUCUGAACCAGCCAAGUAGCGUGAAGGAUGAAGGUCCUACGGAUUGUAAACUUCUUUUAUAAGGGAAUAAACCCUCCCACGUGUGGGAGCUUGUAUGUACCUUAUGAAUAAGCAGCGGCUAACUCCGUG
This 490-nucleotide ribosomal RNA is filed under the name uncultured bacterium. RNAcentral's name for it is "partial 16S ribosomal RNA". It matches the Rfam family "Bacterial small subunit ribosomal RNA", at positions 28 to 507 of the family's 1533-position model. The record is from RNAcentral.